Molecule: microRNA precursor, 169 nt
Filed under: Oryza brachyantha (malo sina)
Lineage: Eukaryota; Viridiplantae; Streptophyta; Magnoliopsida; Poales; Poaceae
Description: MIR812 microRNA precursor family
Rfam family: MIR812 microRNA precursor family
Source: Rfam by way of RNAcentral
UACAGUAUUUUGACUCUUCGUCUUAUUUGAAAUUUUUUUAUGAUUAAUAUUUUUAUUGUUACUAGAUGAUAAAAUAUGAAUAUUACUUUAUGCGUGACUAAUUUUUUUUAAGUUUUUUAUAAAUUUUUUAAAUAAGACGAAUGAUUAAAGCAUUGGACACGGAAAUUGA